Molecule: unclassified non-coding RNA, 542 nt
Filed under: Hevea brasiliensis (rubber tree)
Lineage: Eukaryota; Viridiplantae; Streptophyta; Magnoliopsida; Malpighiales; Euphorbiaceae
Source: RNAcentral
AGAAAAUCAAAAUAAAAUCCAAAUUGUGAUAAAGUUAUCAACACAAGAAGGAUUAUUCUCCACGGGCUACCUGACCAGAUCCAUGAAAACUAAAACAAGAAGAAGACGCACCCUGCUCGGCUCAGAGCGACGCCAUCGGAUGCGACGAAAUAUACUCCACAGCCAGAGGGCACGAAUCAAUCUUAUCCGCCUCCUUGUCCGGAAUCUCUAGCUUGAACUCCUCCUCCAAGGCCAUCACGAUCUCCACCGUAUCCAAGCUGUCCAGCCCUAGAUCCUUCUGGAAAUGGACGUCCGGCGUCACCUUGGAGGGAUCGACCUUGGGGAAGCUCUUGACAACGUCGAGGACGCGGGCGAUGACUUCCUGCUUGUCGAGGUGGUCGUCGCCGUGGGAGGACAUGGAUCGGCGCGAGGUGAAUGGGGCGAGAAGUGAUAGGGGGGAAGAUUGGUAUGGGGUGGUGGUAGGGAGGCGGAGGCGGCGGAGGAUCGCCGGAGUGAGGGAGGCCGCCAUCGGUGUCGAUUUAGUUUCUUGGGAGUGAAAUCGG